CCUACGGGGGGCAGCAGUGAGGAAUAUUGGUCAAUGGCCGUAAGGCUGAACCAGCCAAGUCGCGUGAAGGAAGAAGGAUCUAUGGUUUGUAAACUUCUUUUAUAGGGGAAUAAAGGUAUCCACGUGUGGAUAUUUGCAUGUACCCUAUGAAUAAGCAUCGGCUAACUCCGUGCCAGCAGCCGCGGUAAUACGGAGGAUGCGAGCGUUAUCCGGAUUUAUUGGGUUUAAAGGGUGCGUAGGUUGUUUUUUAAGUCAGCGGUGAAAGUUUGUGGCUCAACCAUAAAAUUGCCGUUGAAACUGGCAGACUUGAGUGUGUUUGAGGUAGGCGGAAUGCGUGGUGUAGCGGUGAAAUGCAUAGAUAUCACGCAGAACUCCGAUUGCGAAGGCAGCUUACUAAGCCAUAACUGACACUGAAGCACGAAAGCGUGGGGAUCAAACAGGAUUAGAGACCCGUGUAGUC
This 460-nucleotide ribosomal RNA is filed under the name uncultured bacterium. Its description in RNAcentral is "partial 16S ribosomal RNA". It matches the Rfam family "Bacterial small subunit ribosomal RNA", at positions 338 to 795 of the family's 1533-position model. The record is from RNAcentral.